RNAcentral lists this ribosomal RNA (218 nucleotides) under uncultured bacterium. Its description in RNAcentral is "partial 16S ribosomal RNA". It matches the Rfam family "Bacterial small subunit ribosomal RNA", at positions 122 to 334 of the family's 1533-position model. The record is from RNAcentral.
UAACCUGCCUUGUAGCGGGGGAGUAACUAUUGGAAACGAUAGCUAAUACCGCAUAACAAUGGAUGACACAUGUCAUUUAUUUGAAAGGGGCAAUUGUUCCACUACAAGAUGGACCUGCGUUGUAUUAGCUAGUAGGUGAGGUAAUGGCUCACCUAGGCGACGAUACAUAGCCGACCUGAGAGGGUGAUCGGCCACACUGGGACUGAGACACGGCCCAG